GACGAACGCUGGCGGCGUGCCUAAUACAUGCAAGUUGAGCGAUGAAGAUUGGUGCUUGCACCAAUUUGAAGAGCAGCGAACGGGUGAGUAACGCGUGGGGAAUCUGCCUUUGAGCGGGGGACAACAUUUGGAAACGAAUGCUAAUACCGCAUAACAACUUUAAACAUAAGUUUUAAGUUUGAAAGAUGCAAUUGCAUCACUCAAAGAUGAUCCCGCGUUGUAUUAGCUAGUUGGUGAGGUAAAGGCUCACCAAGGCGAUGAUACAUAGCCGACCUGAGAGGGUGAUCGGCCACAUUGGGACUGAGACACGGCCCAAACUCCUACGGGAGGCAGCAGUAGGGAAUCUUCGGCAAUGGACGAAAGUCUGACCGAGCAACGCCGCGUGAGUGAAGAAGGUUUUCGGAUCGUAACACUCUGUUGGUAGAGAAGAACGUUGGUGAGAGUGGAAAGCUCAUCAAGUGACGGUAACUACCCAGAAAGGGACGGCUAACUACGUG
This 497-nucleotide ribosomal RNA is filed under the name uncultured bacterium. Its description in RNAcentral is "partial 16S ribosomal RNA". It matches the Rfam family "Bacterial small subunit ribosomal RNA", at positions 28 to 507 of the family's 1533-position model. The record is from RNAcentral.